UACGUAGGGGGCUAGCGUUGUCCGGAAUCAUUGGGCGUAAAGCGCGCGUAGGCGGCCCGGUAAGUCCGCUGUAAAAGUCCAGGGCUCAACCCUGGAAUGCCGGUGGAUACUGUCGGGCUCGAGUCCGGAAGAGGCGAGUGGAAUUCCUGGUGUAGCGGUGAAAUGCGCAGAUAUCCGGAGGAACACCGGUGGCGAAGGCGGCUUCCUGGACCGACACUGACGCUGAGGCGCGAAAGCUAGGGGAGCAAACGGG
RNAcentral lists this ribosomal RNA (253 nucleotides) under uncultured bacterium. RNAcentral describes it as "partial 16S ribosomal RNA". It matches the Rfam family "Bacterial small subunit ribosomal RNA", at positions 524 to 776 of the family's 1533-position model. The record is from RNAcentral.